AGAUGAAUGGCUGAGUGGUUAAAAGCAUCAAUUUUGAAAAUUGAAAUAGGAAAAAAAUUACUUAUCGUGGGUUCGAAUCCUGCUUCAUCUA
Molecule: transfer RNA, 91 nt
Filed under: Dictyomenia sonderi
Lineage: Eukaryota; Rhodophyta; Florideophyceae; Ceramiales; Rhodomelaceae
Description: tRNA-Ser
Rfam family: tRNA
About the family: Transfer RNA (tRNA) molecules are approximately 80 nucleotides in length.
Source: RNAcentral